CCUACGGGGGGCAGCAGGGAGGAAUAUUGGUCAAUGGACGAGAGUCUGAACCAGCCAAGUAGCGUGAAGGAUGACUGCCCUAUGGGUUGUAAACUUCUGUUAUAAAGGAAUAAAACGAGGCACGUGUGCCAUUUUGCAUGUACGUUAUGAAUAAGGAUCGGCUAACUCCGUGCCAGCAGCCGCGGUAAUACGGAGGAUCCGAGCGUUCUCCGGAUUUAUGGGGUUUAAAGGGAGCGUAGAUGGGUUGUUAAGUCAGUUGUGAAAGUUUGCGGCUCAACCGUAAAAUUGCAAUUGUUACUGGCAGCCUUGAGUACAGUUGCGGUAGGCGGAAUUCGUGGUGUAGCGG
This 346-nucleotide ribosomal RNA is filed under the name uncultured bacterium. Its description in RNAcentral is "partial 16S ribosomal RNA". It matches the Rfam family "Bacterial small subunit ribosomal RNA", at positions 338 to 681 of the family's 1533-position model. The record is from RNAcentral.